RNAcentral lists this ribosomal RNA (1362 nucleotides) under Enterococcus thailandicus. Its description in RNAcentral is "bacterial SSU rRNA". It matches the Rfam family "Bacterial small subunit ribosomal RNA", at positions 94 to 1443 of the family's 1533-position model. The record is from RNAcentral. Lineage: Bacteria; Bacillati; Bacillota; Bacilli; Lactobacillales; Enterococcaceae.
AGUGGCGAACGGGUGAGUAACACGUGGGUAACCUGCCCAUCAGAAGGGGAUAACACUUGGAAACAGGUGCUAAUACCGUAUAACAAUCGAAACCGCAUGGUUUUGAUUUGAAAGGCGCUUUCGGGUGUCGCUGAUGGAUGGACCCGCGGUGCAUUAGCUAGUUGGUGAGGUAACGGCUCACCAAGGCCACGAUGCAUAGCCGACCUGAGAGGGUGAUCGGCCACAUUGGGACUGAGACACGGCCCAAACUCCUACGGGAGGCAGCAGUAGGGAAUCUUCGGCAAUGGACGAAAGUCUGACCGAGCAACGCCGCGUGAGUGAAGAAGGUUUUCGGAUCGUAAAACUCUGUUGUUAGAGAAGAACAAGGAUGAGAGUAACUGUUCAUCCCUUGACGGUAUCUAACCAGAAAGCCACGGCUAACUACGUGCCAGCAGCCGCGGUAAUACGUAGGUGGCAAGCGUUGUCCGGAUUUAUUGGGCGUAAAGCGAGCGCAGGCGGUUUCUUAAGUCUGAUGUGAAAGCCCCCGGCUCAACCGGGGAGGGUCAUUGGAAACUGGGAGACUUGAGUGCAGAAGAGGAGAGUGGAAUUCCAUGUGUAGCGGUGAAAUGCGUAGAUAUAUGGAGGAACACCAGUGGCGAAGGCGACUCUCUGGUCUGUAACUGACGCUGAGGCUCGAAAGCGUGGGGAGCAAACAGGAUUAGAUACCCUGGUAGUCCACGCCGUAAACGAUGAGUGCUAAGUGUUGGAGGGUUUCCGCCCUUCAGUGCUGCAGCUAACGCAUUAAGCACUCCGCCUGGGGAGUACGACCGCAAGGUUGAAACUCAAAGGAAUUGACGGGGGCCCGCACAAGCGGUGGAGCAUGUGGUUUAAUUCGAAGCAACGCGAAGAACCUUACCAGGUCUUGACAUCCUUUGACCACUCUAGAGAUAGAGCUUCCCCUUCGGGGGCAAAGUGACAGGUGGUGCAUGGUUGUCGUCAGCUCGUGUCGUGAGAUGUUGGGUUAAGUCCCGCAACGAGCGCAACCCUUAUUGUUAGUUGCCAUCAUUUAGUUGGGCACUCUAGCAAGACUGCCGGUGACAAACCGGAGGAAGGUGGGGAUGACGUCAAAUCAUCAUGCCCCUUAUGACCUGGGCUACACACGUGCUACAAUGGGAAGUACAACGAGUCGCGAAGUCGCGAGGCUAAGCUAAUCUCUUAAAGCUUCUCUCAGUUCGGAUUGUAGGCUGCAACUCGCCUACAUGAAGCCGGAAUCGCUAGUAAUCGCGGAUCAGCACGCCGCGGUGAAUACGUUCCCGGGCCUUGUACACACCGCCCGUCACACCACGAAAGUUUGUAACACCCGAAGUCGGUGAGGUAACCUUU